Long non-coding RNA from Pseudophryne corroboree (corroboree frog), 2761 nucleotides. RefSeq lists it as uncharacterized. NCBI's taxonomy places the organism in Eukaryota, Metazoa, Chordata, Amphibia, Anura, Myobatrachidae. The transcript is spliced from 3 exons. The record is from RefSeq and is a predicted model, not a curated record.
GCCGGCCACUGGAGGGCGCUGCAGGAAGCCCAGGAAGCUAAUGACGCGACAAUGCCUCAGAGGAGCCAGGACCGGGACAGAAGGAAGAAGACAGCCAUUCUCAGUACCCCUAUUGGAUGUUACAUGGACAAGUGGACGUGAUCUGCAUGGGAUGUAGACAAUACUCCCAUGAUAUUUGAUUUGACCAGGAUGGAGGCAACACAUGCAGACCGAGGGGAGCGUGUCCUUGCUGCCCAACAUGGCCGGAACAUUGUGAGAGUGCUCUAUGGAUGCACAGUUUGCAGCCAUUCCUGUACCUUCCAUUAGUGUUUUCUGCAAUUCCCCAUCACCUGGGGACCCUCUGAGGGUUAUGGAUUUUUACAUAAGCAGCAUCAUUUAGGCACCCUACUGUUGAGACCUCCCCUGGUCUAAGACUCAUAAUUUAUUUCCAAGGACUCUGGUAAGCCUGUUGUUACCAGCCUUCAUCCCAAGGGAUGAACUUUAUGUCCAAAUUGAUGCAGGGGGUGUAAAAGUUUCAAAGCCUCAAUAUGUCAUCCCCAAUCUGAUGGUAUAGUGGAAAGAUUCAAUCGAACAUUGAAGUCAGUGUUGAAGAAGUUUACAGAAACAGUAAACAUGUGGGAUGAGCUUCUACCCUAUUUGUUACUUGCAAUCAGGGAAGUUCCAGUGCUUCUACUUGCUUUUGAACAUCUUUAUAUGAGUAAGCAACAUAAUAUUCUCAAUUUUGAAAGAAAAGCAUAGUAAGAACAGCCAGUGGAGGGGGAAAGCAUCCUUCAAUAAAUGGUCCAGAUGCAUAAUUGCAUGUACCUACUAGGUCAAUUGGCCUGGGAAAAUUUGCAAAUGCUCAGGAAGCUCAAACACUUUUCUAUUAUUGCAAUGCCCGAACAAGAGUUUUUUUUCACAAGGGGAUAAAGCUCUUUUGUUGUUGCUUACUCAGGGAAGCAAAUCACUAGCAAAUUGGCAAGGGCCAUUUGAAGUAAUUAGAAAGGUUGGGGAAGUAAAUUAUGAGGUCUCCCAACCUUACUCCCAUGGAGGUAAGCAGAUAAACCAUGUUAAUUUAUUGAAAGCAUGGAAGGACUAAGGUUUUUUGUAGACCCUGGUAAUGGCCAUAGUGACCUUGGUCCACAGAUUCCCCAGGUGGGUCUUCUCCCUAUCUUGAACCUUUGGGUUCAGACAAGCUGAAGCCUCCCUUGGGGGAAACAAGAAUAGGUAAUAAAGGAAGUACAAUAUACUGUAUGUUGAAGUUAGAAGUGAUUGAGGAGACGUUUAGCGACUGGUUUGUCUUGGUCCAGAAACCAGAUGGCUAUACAAGAUUUUGAGUAGACUUCCACUAAGUUAAUGUCAUGUCAAAAUUUGUCACCUACCCAUAACCAAAAGUGGAUGACUUGCUUGAUGGAUUAGGUUUUGACAGAUAUAUAUAUAACCUUGAUCUUAUGAAGAGUUAUUGGCAAAUUAAGUUGACCGAGGAGGCUAGGAAGAAAACUGCUCUUUCUACUCCUUUAGGCCUCUAUCGGUUUAAAAUAAUGCCUUUUGUCUUGAUUGGUGCUCCAGACUCUUUUCAGAUGUUAAUGGAUGGAGUGAUUCAUCCUCAUCAGAAUUAUGCUGCAGCAUACCAGGACAUUGUUGUUAUAUAUAGUCAUCAUUGGAUUGCCCAUGUUAAUAGGCUACGGGCUGUUCCUCAGUCUGUACGAGAGGCAGGCUUAACAGCUAAUUUAAAGAAUGUGUUCUAGGUAAAAAUAAAACUGUAUUUAGGGUAUGUGGUGAGCAGUGGGUGUCUGUUGCCUCUUAAAAGUAAGCUACAAACACAAGUUGAUGUCUUGGUUCCAGCCACCAGGAAAGAGUUCAGGUCUUUUUUAUUACAGGAGGUUUUUACCUUUGCAGCUGCCUUUACAAAAAAAUUUUUUAUUCUCCUCUAAGUAAACUUGAGUGGUCCAGGGAGAAUUGGUCUGCUUUCUCCACAGUUACAAACUUAUUGUGUAAAGGCCCAGUUUUAAAGUCCCCAGAUUUUGCCAAUAUAUUUGUGGUACAAACAGAUGCCACAGAUGUUGGCUUGGGGGCAUUUUUGUGUCAGGAGUUUGAUGGCGUUGAACACCCUAUUCUUUUUCUGUGUAGAAAUUUCUCCCACAAGAGAAUAGGUAUUCUGUAGCAGAAAAAGAAUGCCUUGCUAUAAAAUGGUUUCUAGAAGUUUUGAGGUAUUAUCUUUGUGGUACCAGGUUUACCAUUCUAACUGAUCAUACAUAGUUAAAAUGGUUGCAGCCCAUGAACAAUUCUAAUGCAAGCCUGACAUGGUGGUACCUGGCUUUUCAGCUUUUUACUUUUGAAGUCCUGCACAGACCGGUACGUCUACAUACGAAUGUAGAAAUUUGUUUUCCUCAUCAAAGUUGGAGAGUUGAGCUUCCGCUGCAGGAAUUUUAGAUACGCCUUUCAAUGGGUGAGGUAUGUGGCAGAGUGGUUUUCUCCCACAUUCUAAGUAAAUGGUUAACCUGCUGUAGCUCAGGGAAGAACCACACUCUUUUCUCCAGAAAGACCAGAUAAGAUAUAGAACCCUUGUUAAAAGAGUUAGUGAGUGGGAAUGUGAGGUAGAGGUUGCACCAUUAGCAGCCCUCUCUAGACUGGACAAACUUAACCCUGUCUUUGCUGUGUAUACACUUUUCAUUUGAAUUGCUGUCACUUAUAAGCUGAACUAUUGUAUCUAUUGUACCCUGUGUAAGAAGCCAUUGCACUGGCUCUGCCUCUCAGCCUGUAGUAAACUUGUUUGAAACAC